Molecule: ribosomal RNA, 253 nt
Filed under: uncultured bacterium
Lineage: Bacteria
Description: partial 16S ribosomal RNA
Rfam family: Bacterial small subunit ribosomal RNA
Source: RNAcentral
UACGGAGGGGGCUAGCGUUGUUCGGAAUUACUGGGCGUAAAGCGCACGUAGGCGGCUUUGCAAGUUAGAGGUGAAAGCCCGGGGCUCAACUCCGGAAUUGCCUUUAAAACUGCAUCGCUAGAAUUGUGGAGAGGUAAGUGGAAUUCCGAGUGUAGAGGUGAAAUUCGUAGAUAUUCGGAAGAACACCAGUGGCGAAGGCGACUUACUGGACUGUAACUGACGCUGAGGCAUGAAAGCGUGGGGAGCAAACAGG